UGCAGUCGAACGGUGAAGCAGAGCUUGCUCUGUGGAUCAGUGGCGAACGGGUGAGUAACACGUGAGUAACCUGCCCUUGACUCUGGGAUAAGCGUUGGAAACGACGUCUAAUACCGGAUACGACCCUCAACCGCAUGGUUAGGGGGUGGAAAGAUUUUUUGGUCAAGGAUGGACUCGCGGCCUAUCAGCUUGUUGGUGAGGUAAUGGCUCACCAAGGCGACGACGGGUAGCCGGCCUGAGAGGGUGACCGGCCACACUGGGACUGAGACACGGCCCAGACUCCUACGGGAGGCAGCAGUGGGGAAUAUUGCACAAUGGGCGCAAGCCUGAUGCAGCAACGCCGCGUGAGGGAUGACGGCCUUCGGGUUGUAAACCUCUUUUAGUAGGGAAGAAGCGAAAGUGACGGUACCUGCAGAAAAAGCACCGGCUAACUACGUGCCAGCAGCCGCGGUAAUACGUAGGGUGCAAGCGUUGUCCGGAAUUAUUGGGCGUAAAGAGCUCGUAGGCGGUUUGUCGCGUCUGCUGUGAAAACUGGAGGCUCAACCUCCAGCCUGCAGUGGGUACGGGCAGACUAGAGUGCGGUAGGGGAGAUUGGAAUUCCUGGUGUAGCGGUGGAAUGCGCAGAUAUCAGGAGGAACACCGAUGGCGAAGGCAGAUCUCUGGGCCGUAACUGACGCUGAGGAGCGAAAGCGUGGGGAGCGAACAGGAUUAGAUACCCUGGUAGUCCACGCCGUAAACGUUGGGAACUAGAUGUGGGGACCAUUCCACGGUCUCCGUGUCGCAGCUAACGCAUUAAGUUCCCCGCCUGGGGAGUACGGCCGCAAGGCUAAAACUCAAAGGAAUUGACGGGGGCCCGCACAAGCGGCGGAGCAUGCGGAUUAAUUCGAUGCAACGCGAAGAACCUUACCAAGGCUUGACAUAUACGAGAACGGGCCAGAAAUGGUCAACUCUUUGGACACUCGUAAACAGGUGGUGCAUGGUUGUCGUCAGCUCGUGUCGUGAGAUGUUGGGUUAAGUCCCGCAACGAGCGCAACCCUCGUUCUAUGUUGCCAGCACGUU
This 1059-nucleotide ribosomal RNA is filed under the name Curtobacterium sp. 956G46. RNAcentral's name for it is "bacterial SSU rRNA". It matches the Rfam family "Bacterial small subunit ribosomal RNA", at positions 56 to 1127 of the family's 1533-position model. The record is from RNAcentral. Lineage: Bacteria; Bacillati; Actinomycetota; Actinomycetes; Micrococcales; Microbacteriaceae.